UCCAGAUGGUCUGACGUCACCACCACGCUAAAUCUUUCCCAGUGUUAUAAACAUGGCGAAGCAGUUAACGAAACCUGCACCAAACUUUGGGUCCUUUCUGAACCUCUUCCCGGAGGCAGGCUGCCUCUGGAAAAAAAGAGCAAUGAACCCUUCUUCCAGAACACCAGGCAAGAAUACAAAGGCCUGGAGACCUUUUAUUCAGUGUACACCUAAAUAAGUUGUACGGCUUCCUGGACAUCCUUCAGAAGCAGCCAAAUCUCUACAAGAGUCUCUCUGUCCCUGGGGAAGAUUUCACCGGAUGCUGACUAUGUAGUCGGCCUCAUCGCUCCUGAAAUGAGCAGGAGAGGAACCUUCAGGACUGCCAUAUUCAGAAUCUUUAAGGACUUUGUUCAAGAUGUGGAAAGGAGGAAUGGAGGAAAAGGCAGUGCACAGUGAACUUGGAGGAGAGGAAGAAGAUGGACAAGUGGAGCCAUCCAGUCGAACAGUUUUCACUGUCCCUAAAGUUAUGCUAUGGGUCAGGGACAAGUAUUUUAUACAAAUCAUUUUUAAAUGUAGGCCUUAGACACUCACUGUAAAUAAGACAAAUAAAACCCAAUAUUUUACCCUUUUGACCUCCAUACAGCAAAGUGGCACAUCCCAAAUUAUGCUGAGCUGCAGGUCACCAGUCUAUGGUCCAUGAAGUGUCUGUCAUGGUGCAGCAUGGUGCAUUGUCCAGAAAAUGUUAGAAUUUUCAAACUAGUUUUCAUUGGGACGGCAGAUAAAGCAAUCACUUACAUGUGAUCACAGAAUCCUACUCAUUACUCCACCUGCUUAAUUGCAUCACUUGUUUUUGUUACAUAUUGUAUCUCAUGACAUUCUGUUGAUUUGUAUCUAUUUGAAUGUUUAUUUUCUGUCAAAGGGAUUACCUUUUCGCAUAGUUAAAAAUGUAACUUAAUGACUGCAGCUAUUUGUAUUCAAACACUUCUAUUUUAGUCAUUUAAAUAAAUGUUGUCCAUAGUGUGGUGGUAGAAUGUGCUGAGCUGGUCUGUAGCCUAUUCUGUGUUGGACUGUGAUUGGCCUCUCAGACUCCUGGUAUGUCUGCACCCUAACACAAUGCAAUUGUGUUCUGGAACUGUUGCUUGUAUAAAUAACUUGUGUAGCAAUAGGAUUGUAUUAUCUCAUUAUAUAAGGGACAUUUAACCAUUUACUCUUUGAGUUCUUCCCAGUGAAAUCAGAGAUCUCCCCUGCAGCUCCUUGAUUAAAGAUUUUUCGAAUAUUCAA
Long non-coding RNA from Oncorhynchus kisutch (coho salmon), 1260 nucleotides. RefSeq lists it as uncharacterized. The transcript has 4 exons. NCBI's taxonomy places the organism in Eukaryota, Metazoa, Chordata, Actinopteri, Salmoniformes, Salmonidae. The record is from RefSeq and is a predicted model, not a curated record.